This 930-nucleotide long non-coding RNA is filed under the name Helianthus annuus (common sunflower). RNAcentral describes it as "hypothetical non coding rna". Lineage: Eukaryota; Viridiplantae; Streptophyta; Magnoliopsida; Asterales; Asteraceae. The record is from RNAcentral.
CUGUACAUCCUUUCGACCUCGCUCUCUGCAUAUGUAUAUAUUUUUAUAAAGCCAUGCUCUGUUUUAAGUAUUGUAGCCCUGGUCACUGAUGCCCUGUCCGACUGACGUAGCGCCCCGUAACGUAUGUCAAGGCUCUGCCUAAAUUCGUUGGGGUUCUGUCUCGUGACGUAGGGAUAAUGUGGAAUUGGGUUACUAUACUUAAUGUGAGUACACUAUAUAUUUUAUUAAAUAAUUCAGGAGUUGUACCCAAAAUAUAACAACCCUCCCGAAUAUUUUUCUGACACCCUACACUUCCUAAGAUACACCCCGUAUAUGAAAACCGAGCCCGAAAUACAAUAUACUAUUAAAAAUAAUUAAAAACAAGAAAAUAUAAGUUUAGGCGGGCCGCCUAAAGAUCCUCGAUUAGCUAACGCGGGCCGCGAGAGGUUAGAAAGGUGGCGCAGCCCUGGGCCGCCACGUGGCAUAACACCCGUCAAGCCUACACAUCAACUCAGCAUAGCUAUACGUUGACUUUGGGUCAACGCGGGCCGCGUAAGACCUGCUCUCAUUUGACGCGGGCCGCGAGAGAGUCCAGUAUCAGCACUAUAUAAAGGAGCCAUCGGGUUCAACUAGAGUUCGUUCAUUCUUCGAUUCUCAAUCUCAAAUUCUGAUAGUAGAGUUAUUAUACUCGGGUAUUAUACCCCUAAUUAGCGAAGCUCUGCCUCGUUAUUAUAACCAGGGAAUCAAAAAGGAAAGCCCUAGAAUAGCAAUUAUGACCGUAACUUAGUAUGAAGCCAAUAAAAGCCAGCUGGAGAGCACUGAAGGCUUGGAAAAGUGGCAAUAAAGUUACCUAAAAUAAAAUAGAUGUUUUUAUUAAAUAAAAUAGGAUUUAUUCCUAUGAAAAUGUAUGUACUGCAAAACUUGGGUUUUAUCCUAUGUGUUUAAUCUUAU